UCUGGAGCUUGGAAGAGGAAGUUGAACAUUUUAAUCGUAGAUUGGGACAACUGACCUUGAAGAGAAGAGAUCCCUUGUCUACAGUCUGCUGGUACCUGAGGGAGGAGAACAGUGAGCCUGAGGAACAGCCACAAAACCAGAUGCAGACCUUGAAUGACUCCCUGGAGUUCCACCAAGAGCAUUGGAACUUCAAGGAAAUGAGUGAAGGUGGAGAUCUGGCCAGUAUCACACAGGCAAACGACCUCCAUGAACUGGCACCUCGCCUUGUAGGUGUUGAAACUGGGCAAGCAUUAUUGGAAGGCCAAGUGUCAGAUCUACACACCCAGCUAUUCCAAACUAAGUGUGAG
Long non-coding RNA from Pristis pectinata (smalltooth sawfish), 347 nucleotides. RefSeq lists it as uncharacterized. The transcript is spliced from 3 exons. NCBI's taxonomy places the organism in Eukaryota, Metazoa, Chordata, Chondrichthyes, Rhinopristiformes, Pristidae. The record is from RefSeq and is a predicted model, not a curated record.